Molecule: ribosomal RNA, 253 nt
Filed under: uncultured bacterium
Lineage: Bacteria
Description: partial 16S ribosomal RNA
Rfam family: Bacterial small subunit ribosomal RNA
Source: RNAcentral
UACAGAGGUCUCGAGCGUUAAUCGGAAUUACUGGGCUUAAAGGGUGCGUAGGCGGCGCGGUAAGUCGGGUGUGAAAUCUCGGAGCUUAACUCCGAAACUGCAUUCGAUACUGCCGUGCUUGAGGACUGGAGAGGAGACUGGAAUUUACGGUGUAGCGGUGAAAUGCGUAGAUAUCGUAAGGAAGACCAGUGGCGAAGGCGGGUCUCUGGACAGUUCCUGACGCUGAGGCACGAAGGUCAGGGGAGCAAACGGG